UGAGCCCUGUGGACCCAUAAAUGGAUCUUAUUUGUCCUGCCUUGGCAUUCAAGUUGUGUCGCAGGUCAGAUGGGUCUUCGGGAUGUGUUGGCUCUUUCCUUCUUCUGCGAAGGUGUUCGGGUUGUUCACCAGCUUUUCCAGUCGUCCUAUCCCGUCCUCGAGGGGGGCGGUCCAGCUGGCCGCCCUGAGUGAACCUGGGCAGUGUGGGCUCGAAGGCCUCGUCUUCGAACUCUGGCAAUAACC
This 243-nucleotide long non-coding RNA is filed under the name Hordeum vulgare. RNAcentral describes it as "long non-coding RNA (HVUL_LNC010120)". The record is from RNAcentral. Lineage: Eukaryota; Viridiplantae; Streptophyta; Magnoliopsida; Poales; Poaceae.